This 568-nucleotide ribosomal RNA is filed under the name uncultured Caryophanales bacterium. RNAcentral describes it as "bacterial SSU rRNA". It matches the Rfam family "Bacterial small subunit ribosomal RNA", at positions 505 to 1084 of the family's 1533-position model. Lineage: Bacteria; Bacillati; Bacillota; Bacilli; Caryophanales. The record is from RNAcentral. RNAcentral also lists the same sequence under 1 other name.
GUGCCAGCCGCCGCGGUAAUACAUAGGGGGCAAGCGUUAUCCGGAAUUAUUGGGCGUAAAGGGUGCGUAGGAGGCCAUUUAAGUCUUUGGUGUAAGUGCAGUGCUCAACGCUGUGAUGCUAAAGAGACUGGGUGGCUUGAGUGUGGUAGAGGCAAGUGGAAUUCCAUGUGUAGCGGUAAAAUGCGUAAAUAUAUGGAGGAACACCAGUGGCGAAGGCGGCUUGCUGGGCCAUAACUGACACUGAGGCACGAAAGCGUGGGGAGCAAACAGGAUUAGAUACCCUGGUAGUCCACGCCGUAAACGAUGAGUACUAAGUGUUGGAGAAAUUCAGUGCUGUAGUUAACGCAAUAAGUACUCCGCCUGAGUAGUACGUACGCAAGUAUGAAACUCAAAGGAAUUGACGGGACCCCGCACAAGCGGUGAAUCAUGUUGUUUAAUUCGAUGAUACGCGAAGAACCUUACCAGGUCUUGACAUCCCUUGCAAAGCUCUAGAGAUAGAGUGGAGGUUAUCAAGGAGACAGGUGGUGCAUGGUUGUCGUCAGCUCGUGUCGUGAGAUGUUGGGUUAAG